GCCUGGGUGGCUCAGUCAGUUAAGCGUUUGACUUUGGCUCAGGUCAUGAUCUCACAGUUUCAUGAGUUCGAGCCUUGUUUCAGGUG
This 86-nucleotide transfer RNA is filed under the name Felis catus (domestic cat). It matches the Rfam family "tRNA". From Rfam's summary of the family: Transfer RNA (tRNA) molecules are approximately 80 nucleotides in length. Their secondary structure includes four short double-helical elements and three loops (D, anti-codon, and T loops). Further hydrogen bonds mediate the characteristic L-shaped molecular structure. tRNAs have two regions of fundamental functional importance: the anti-codon, which is responsible for specific mRNA codon recognition, and the 3' end, to which the tRNAs corresponding amino acid is attached (by aminoacyl-tRNA synthetases). tRNAs cope with the degeneracy of the genetic code in two manners: having more than one tRNA (with a specific anti-codon) for a particular amino acid; and 'wobble' base-pairing, i.e. permitting non-standard base-pairing at the 3rd anti-codon position. The record is from Rfam by way of RNAcentral. Lineage: Eukaryota; Metazoa; Chordata; Mammalia; Carnivora; Felidae.